Molecule: non-coding RNA, 709 nt
Filed under: Biomphalaria sudanica
Lineage: Eukaryota; Metazoa; Mollusca; Gastropoda; Planorbidae
Source: RNAcentral
AAGACACUUUAAUUUAAUGAAAAAAUUAAUUAAUGAUGAACUAUCAUGGAAUUUUUUAUUUUUAAUCCAGUUAGUAGCAUUGAACUAUUUUCAAAAGAAAAAUUCAGUUCUCUUUUAUUAACAGACCAAUUGGGUGCCAGCAGUCGCGGUCAUACCUAAUGUUCAGAUUUUUUUUAGAUAAUUUUUUUUAAAAAAGAUUUUUUUAUUAGUAAAAUAUAAAAAAAUCAUAACCAUUUUAAAAAUUUUUAAAUAAAAUUCUUAAUAAAAACUAGGAUUAGAUACCCUAUUAUUUUAGAACUCAUCUCUUUAUCUAAGCACUAAAAUAAUUAUUAUUAAAACUUAAAAAUUAUGGCGGUAAAUCAAAUUUUUAGGGGAACUUACCAGAUAAUUGAUAACCCUCAAGUGAUUCAACUUUAAUUAACAGCUUAUAUAUUGCCGUUGUGAUUUCUCUUAAGGAAAAAUCAUUAAAAUAAUUUAAUUUUAAUAACAGGUCAUAGUGUAGCAUAUAUUAAAGUCUUAAGGUGAGUUACAAUAUUUAUUUUUUUCAAAUAAAAAAUCAAUAACUUUUUUUAAGAUGGACUUAAAAGUAAUAUAAAAAUAUAUAUAAUAUGAAUUUCUUUUGAUUUGUGCACAAAUCGCCCGUCAUUCUCCUUAUUUCCUUUAAAGGAGACAAGUCGUAACAUAGUAGAGGUAACUGAAGUUGUCUCUU